AAGGAUCACAUAGAUCUUAAACUGAAGAGUUUGAUCAUGGCUCAGAUUGAACGCUGGCGGCAGGCCUAACACAUGCAAGUCGAGCGGUAACAGAUCUAGCUUGCUAGAUGCUGACGAGCGGCGGACGGGUGAGUA
This 135-nucleotide ribosomal RNA is filed under the name Halomonas sp. ATBC28. RNAcentral describes it as "partial 16S ribosomal RNA". The stretch from base 19 to 135 matches the Rfam family "Bacterial small subunit ribosomal RNA", at positions 1 to 112 of the family's 1533-position model. The record is from RNAcentral. Lineage: Bacteria; Pseudomonadati; Pseudomonadota; Gammaproteobacteria; Oceanospirillales; Halomonadaceae.